Ipomoea nil (Japanese morning glory) is the source of this 1349-nucleotide long non-coding RNA. RefSeq lists it as uncharacterized. The record is from RefSeq and is a predicted model, not a curated record. The transcript is spliced from 3 exons. NCBI's taxonomy places the organism in Eukaryota, Viridiplantae, Streptophyta, Magnoliopsida, Solanales, Convolvulaceae.
AUAAAAAAAAAAGUAAAAAAUAAAUGAAAGAGAUAGAUUUUUGUCCAACGGACAUCGUGCGUUGCACGUGCAGUUUCAACCCUCCAAAAUGUCCUCCUGAGAAUUCACGUCUACCGGCCGACCAAUUCAGGGUUCCCUGGUUUAUCUUGAUUGUGGUAGAUUCGCAGUUGUUCAGUGCAGCAUUCCCUUGAUGGCAAUCAAACCCUUUGUUGGGGCCGCCAUGGCUGCAACUUCAGAAGAAAUGCAGAAGUAAAUUUGCUUAAGAGUGGCUUAGAUGCAUAGGCAAUGGGGUGAGGAAGGUGACACUUUUUAUUUACUUACAUAGAGAGGCUGCUCCAUAGUUUUGUUUUCAAUUGUGUUUUUAUUCCGGUAAGUUGUAAAGCAUGAAGAUGGGCAAGUGGCUUUCUAUAUCUGAGAAGGAGGGGAUAAAGAAUAGUUGAAUACCACUUUCUUGAUCUAUCAAUGUCCAGGAAGUCCUGAUAUUCGCGGAGUUUUCUUAUAUAUAAUCCAUUGCUUUUAGUCAUCGUUAUUGGUGUUGAUAAAUGACAGGAUAACAAGGGAUAUAUUCCUAAUCUGUGUGUUCUGGCGUGUGGUUUAUACCGUUUGUGCCAACUUGUCAAACAUUAGAAAACCUCCCGAGUUGUCGAAAAGCCAAAGUGUCUGUGAUGGGUGCUUAGAGCCAAAUUGUAUGGCAGGCAUUCUUCUGUUAGCGUAGCGCCAUAGCCUUGCUUUUGACCGAAAAUACUAUACACAAGAGGAUAUGUCUCUUUUGUGCCUUUCAACUUCACGAAAUUUUGUUCUCUGGGAAUAACUUUACACUCCACUUCUAUCGUGGCAUUGAAUAUAAUCCUUCUUUGCACACGCCCCCCCUCCCUCCCGCACAGUUUCUUCCACAUAUAACGAGUAACAUUUCUGAAUUAAGUUUCAUAUAACUCAUCAUUUGCCACCACUUGGAAAAGGUGGUAGCAAAACUGAGGUCAAAGAUGCAGCAACCUUCCAUUUUCUCGAGGAUGGAACUCCUAUACUUCCAUUAACAAGCUAGACAGUGUGGAUUCGGACAUAGAUACAGAGAGGAUUAGUAUGGUCGGGAUUCUAGCUUCCUCAGCGGAUUGCAUCCACACGAUCAAAUAGAAACCAAUUGUAUAUAUAUUGUUUGUCGUAUUUCUAUGGUUUUGUUGUGUUUCAUGUCGAAUGUAGAUUGUAGCUGUACAAUGUAUUCUAGUCUCUACUGUGAUGUAGAUAUCUGCUGCUUCAACUUCUUUCAUGUCUCUUAAACAAGAAAUCUGUAAGGUUCCCCAGAACACAUUUUUGUGGAAAAUGACCAUUGAUGCUCAUCUUUCAGCGGUUUA